RNAcentral lists this transfer RNA (64 nucleotides) under Tropidurus etheridgei. Its description in RNAcentral is "tRNA-Cys". Lineage: Eukaryota; Metazoa; Chordata; Lepidosauria; Squamata; Tropiduridae. The record is from RNAcentral.
AAGCCCCGGAGCCUUUUCGGGCUCUUUUUCAAACUUGCAAUUUGAUGUGAAACACUUCGAAGCU